RNAcentral lists this ribosomal RNA (476 nucleotides) under uncultured organism. RNAcentral's name for it is "partial 16S ribosomal RNA". It matches the Rfam family "Bacterial small subunit ribosomal RNA", at positions 329 to 797 of the family's 1533-position model. The record is from RNAcentral.
ACGUACACUCCUGCGGGAGGCAGCAGUGGGGAAUAUUGCACAAUGGGCGCAAGCCUGAUGCAGCCAUGCCGCGUGUAUGAAGAAGGCCUUCGGGUUGUAAAGUACUUUCAGCGGGGAGGAAGGCAAUACGGUUAAUAACCGUGUUGAUUGACGUUACCCGCAGAAGAAGCACCGGCUAACUCCGUGCCAGCAGCCGCGGUAAUACGGAGGGUGCAAGCGUUAAUCGGAAUUACUGGGCGUAAAGCGCACGCAGGCGGUCUGUCAAGUCGGAUGUGAAAUCCCCGGGCUCAACCUGGGAACUGCAUUCGAAACUGGCAGGCUUGAGUCUUGUAGAGGGGGGUAGAAUUCCAGGUGUAGCGGUGAAAUGCGUAGAGAUCUGGAGGAAUACCGGUGGCGAAGGCGGCCCCCUGGACAAAGACUGACGCUCAGGUGCGAAAGCGUGGGGAGCAAACAGGAUUAGAAACCCGUGUAGUCCC